GUCUACGGCCAUGCUACCCUGAACAAGCCCGAUCCUGUCUGAUCUCGCAAGCUAAGCAGGGUCGGGCCUCGUUAGUACUUCGAUGGGAGAUCACCUAGGAAGAUCAGGUGCUAUAGGCG
RNAcentral lists this ribosomal RNA (119 nucleotides) under Pteropus alecto (black flying fox). The record is from RNAcentral. Lineage: Eukaryota; Metazoa; Chordata; Mammalia; Chiroptera; Pteropodidae.